GGAGGCGCGUGGGUUCCUGGUGGUCCUCCUGGCCUUCAAAGCCAUGGGGCGGCGCUCCGCGUCGCCGGCGGGUUCGAUUCCCGUUCGCCUCCGCCA
RNAcentral lists this transfer RNA (96 nucleotides) under Spongiactinospora rosea. RNAcentral's name for it is "Sphaerisporangium sp. LHW63015 tRNA-Sec". It matches the Rfam family "Selenocysteine transfer RNA". RNAcentral also lists the same sequence under 1 other name. Lineage: Bacteria; Bacillati; Actinomycetota; Actinomycetes; Streptosporangiales; Streptosporangiaceae. The record is from RNAcentral.